This 593-nucleotide ribosomal RNA is filed under the name Salmonella enterica. Its description in RNAcentral is "partial 23S ribosomal RNA". It matches the Rfam family "Bacterial large subunit ribosomal RNA", at positions 1292 to 1868 of the family's 2925-position model. Lineage: Bacteria; Pseudomonadati; Pseudomonadota; Gammaproteobacteria; Enterobacterales; Enterobacteriaceae. The record is from RNAcentral. RNAcentral also lists the same sequence under 1 other name.
GAAUGCUGACAUAAGUAACGAUAAAGCGGGUGAAAAGCCCGCUCGCCGGAAGACCAAGGGUUCCUGUCCAACGUUAAUCGGGGCAGGGUGAGUCGACCCCUAAGGCGAGGCCGAAAGGCGUAGUCGAUGGGAAACGGGUUAAUAUUCCCGUACUUGGUGUUACUGCGAAGGGGGGACGGAGAAGGCUAUGUUGGCCGGGCGACGGUUGUCCCGGUUUAAGCGUGUAGGUGUGUGUUCCAGGUAAAUCCGGUUCACUUUAACACUGAGGCGUGACGACGAGGCACUACGGUGCUGAAGCAACAAAUGCCCUGCUUCCAGGAAAAGCCUCUAAGCAUCAGGUAACAUCAAAUCGUACCCCAAACCGACACAGGUGGUCAGGUAGAGAAUACCAAGGCGCUUGAGAGAACUCGGGUGAAGGAACUAGGCAAAAUGGUGCCGUAACUUCGGGAGAAGGCACGCUGACACGUAGGUGAAGUGAUUUACUCAUGGAGCUGAAGUCAGUCGAAGAUACCAGCUGGCUGCAACUGUUUAUUAAAAACACAGCACUGUGCAAACACGAAAGUGGACGUAUACGGUGUGACGCCUGCCCGGUG